Molecule: non-coding RNA, 1855 nt
Organism: Odocoileus virginianus texanus
Lineage: Eukaryota; Metazoa; Chordata; Mammalia; Artiodactyla; Cervidae
Source: RefSeq, a predicted model, not a curated record
GCAAGUGAAACCCCAGGGAGGUGGGGAAUCCCUCGAGGUUUGACUCCCCCGUCCAGACAUCACUUUCUGGCCUACGACCCUGAGAGCCUUGUCCAGGGACCUGGGACUCUGCCCUGACCACUCUCCUACUGCCUGGAGGACCCUAGAACAACAUGGCCUAGCUGUGGGCACCAGACCAGCUUCAAGUAACUCUGAUGUCUAGCUGUGAGUGUCACACCUGUUCCCUGGGGUCAGAAGGCUGAUUUUUCUUCCUUAAAUUGAAUAUUUUAAGACUCCUACAUCAAGACUGGAAAAUAAAGACUAUUAAAAAACAAUUUGGAAAAGAAAUGAAAACUUGACCCAUCGGUUGAGUCUAUGAAUCCACCAAGAGAGCUACUGCCAAACACACCUCUGGCUCUGUAAGAGCUGAGAUUCUGUAAUACAGAAUCGUUCUUGUACGUUUGUCUCAGUGGCAGGUGAAGAACCAAAUCAAAGGCAACAGAAGCGGUAAAUCAGUUAACACACAUUUUAAUAAACACAUUAAAGACAUUCCAACCAUUCCUCUUAGAGAAAGAAGAUCAACUAUUACCGUCCCCAUUUCAGAGACAAAUCAGCGAGGACAAGAGACUCAUGACUGCCAUAAUGCUUAUCAUCUGAGUGCUUUCAGAAACCCAGCAGGACCAUCCGGCUGAGGCAGAGAGCUGGGAAUGAGGAAAAGGAACAAAGGAUAAAUGAGAAAACCCGGAGCUCUUCUCUCAGGGUCUCAGUCCACACUGCUCGGCUUUCAGGAAGACCAGGGAUUGAACUCAGGCUGAGGGCAGUGAAAGCACGGAGUCCUACCCACUGGACCACCAGGGAAUUCUUGACAGACUGAUAGGCUUUUCAAUCCAGAACUUCUUCCGGGGGUAUCUAGAGAUAAUGAAGUCAGACAGACAGCAGGAAACCAUCACUAACAAGCAUGGACAGCAACUUGACGAAAAAAUGUGCUUUACAAAAUGUGAGGGAAGUGCAGCCAGGAGAGGUGGCUGGGAACCAAACAGGAAUAAAAAGAACAAAAGGACACUGGGUCUUAGAAACAAAUGUGUAUUUUAAACUUUUUCAAAUACUCUGCCAUAAUCUCCCAUUUCAAUUCUCCCUAUCCUCUUACCAUCCUAAAUUCCAAGACAAUAAUUUUUCUAGGAUGUUCUAUGGAAUAUCUUUCAUAUUACACUUUCUAGAAGAACCUCUCUUCUUCCAAAUAACCCCUUUCAGCCCUUACCAAAUUUCAAUAAGUUUUGGUGAUAGAAAGAAAAAACAAAGGAACACCUAAGUGGUUAAAAAAAUAAAGCAAGCAGCACUUACCUGCUUGUUAUGUCACUUGGGUCCUAGAAAGGAAGAGAAGACAGACUGUCAUGGAAAUAAGGUUCCCGGGAGCUGACACUGUUCCUUAUGAUGAGCUCGCUGGGAAUGGGUAUGGGUACACAACAGGACUAUACAGAGAAUUUUCUGGUGGGCUUGGACCUGUGCUAUUCUCCACUGUGGUAUCAGUUUAUGGGGACACAUGUUUCCCCUUCCUUUCCUCCAUUUGAGUCUAGAAUAUCCUCUCCAGGAAAACUUUCUUGAUGUGUUAAGACUUCUACUGUCUAUCAGAUGAAGACUGAAAUCUCAGAAUGCCUUUGAAGGCCUCUGCUCAGCUGGCUCCAUCUUACCUAGCCCAUCUUCCCUUUAACUUCUUCCUCGCUUAGGCUGACUCCUCCAGAAAGGUGGCCCCUUUCACUCUAUGUAUCCUUCCUAUCUUCCAAACUCUCUUCCUCAGCACCUGCGGGCUUCCCAGGUGGCUCAAUGGUAGAGAAUCCUCUCGUCAGUGCAACAGCCACAGGAGACUCAGGUUCGAUCC